This 333-nucleotide ribosomal RNA is filed under the name uncultured bacterium. Its description in RNAcentral is "bacterial SSU rRNA". It matches the Rfam family "Bacterial small subunit ribosomal RNA", at positions 568 to 898 of the family's 1533-position model. The record is from RNAcentral.
CGUGUAGGCGGUUUGUUAAGUCUGAUGUGAAAGCCCCGGGCUCAACCUGGGAAGUGCAUUGGAAACUGGCAGACUUGAAUACGGGAGAGGGUAGUGGAACUUCCUAGUGUAGGAGUGAAAUCCGUAGAUAUUAGGAGGAACACCGGUGGCGAAGGCGGCUGCCUGGACCGAUAUUGACGCUGAGACGCGAAAGCGUGGGGAGCAAACAGGAUUAGAUACCCUGGUAGUCCACGCCGUAAACGAUGAGUACUAGGUGUUGCGGGUAUUGACCCCUGCAGUGCCGCAGCUAACGCAUUAAGUACUCCGCCUGGGAAGUACGGCCGCAAGGCUAAA